This 45-nucleotide non-coding RNA is filed under the name Schistosoma margrebowiei. Lineage: Eukaryota; Metazoa; Platyhelminthes; Trematoda; Strigeidida; Schistosomatidae. The record is from RNAcentral.
AUCCAGCUGACGAGUCCCAAAUAAGAUGAGACGCGUAUCCUGGAU